This 484-nucleotide ribosomal RNA is filed under the name uncultured bacterium. RNAcentral describes it as "partial 16S ribosomal RNA". It matches the Rfam family "Bacterial small subunit ribosomal RNA", at positions 30 to 507 of the family's 1533-position model. The record is from RNAcentral.
AUUGAACGCUGGCGGCAGGCCUAACACAUGCAAGUCGAGCGGUAGAGCGAAGCUUGCUUCUCUUGCUAGCGUCGGACGGGUGAGUAAUGCCUAGGAAUCUGCCUGGUAGUGGGGGAUAACAUUCUGAAACGGACGCUAAUACCGCCUACUACCUACGGCUGCAAGCAGGGGACCUUCGGGCCUUGCGCUCUCAUAUGGGUCUAGGCCGGGUUAGCUAGUUGGUGGGGUAAUGGCUUACCAAGCCGGCGAUCCGUAACUGGCCUGCGAGGCUGAUCAGUCACACUGGAACUGAGACACGGUCCAGGCUCCUGCGGGAGGCAGCAGUGGGGAAUGUUGGACAGUGGGCGAAAGCCUGGUCCAGCCGGGCCGCGUGUGUGAAGAAGGUCUUCGGAGUGUAAAGAACUUUAAGUGGGGAGGAAGGGCAGUAAAUUAAGACGUUGCGGUUUUGACGUUACCGAGAGAAGAAGCACCGGCUAACUCUGUG